This is a long non-coding RNA of Suricata suricatta (meerkat), 772 nucleotides long. RefSeq lists it as uncharacterized. NCBI's taxonomy places the organism in Eukaryota, Metazoa, Chordata, Mammalia, Carnivora, Herpestidae. The transcript has 3 exons. The record is from RefSeq and is a predicted model, not a curated record.
CUUGCCUGGCCACGGUCAGUACCCCCAGAGCCCCACAGGUGGGAAACGGGGGGUUGGAGAAAUCGGGGAAGACAAGGUCAGCCCUCGGAGGCAGGUCAAGCCUGGGGAAGAGCGACUCCUCCCGCACCUCUCGGGACGGACAGGGCUUUCGGCUGCCAGUGACCUCGGGGCCGGGACAUCAGACGGGGGCAGGAGACGACGUGAUUCCCGGCCAGCUAUGGGGAACUGGGAUACAGAUGCCUGUUCCUCCUUCUCCCUAUGGAUGGACAAUUCCCCCGCCCAGGGCCAGCAUGCUGUGGGAUGCACUGUGAAAACUGGGAAGAGUUCGAUGCACAAGCCCUGAAGAAAAAGCAACUCCUUUCUUUUGCACCAAGGCUUGGCCCCAAUACAAGUUGGAGGUGGAAACCUGGCCGCACGAGGGAAAUAUCAAUUAGAACACUGUCCUACAAUCGGGCAAAUGGAGAGAGGUCCCUUCUGUUCGGCGUUUUUCAGCGUUAAGAAAAAAAUCGAGAUGCGCGCAUAAGCUACGUAAGGAUUUAAGACAGAUAAACGGAGCUCAAGGGAAACUUUCUGAUGAGCCAGGAAAGGAGGACCUCUGAGAAGGAUGUUUCCAACACCCUCCCAGUACAUCGGACCUCUGGGUCCUGCCCUGCCCGUGCCCUGCCAUUGCCCCCCUUCAGCAGGAUGUAGCUGAGGUGGGUCAUGGGGUGCCGGGGUGGCUCAGUCAGUAAGUGUCCGGCUUCGACUCAGGUCACUAUCUCAUGGUUUGUGG